UGUAUUUUUAAUUAAAAGGGUAGAAAUGUAAAGAAUGAAAUUAAAAUUUACACGCAUCGUGAUUUACAUUUCUCACUUUCACUUUCACUUUCAUCUAGGGUUUGAGAAUAAAAAAAAAACGCAGGCAUCUGUGCAGUCGACGAAGGACGCCUCCUGCACGCCGGCGACGAAGAAUCGGUCACAUGGUGUUCUCCGGCGGCGGUUUCGUCGAUCUGUACAAGGGCUGUGCAAGGAGGCUGCGGCGGAGGAUUUCCGAUUAAUCCAGGAGGCGGUGGCGGCGGCCGAGUAUUCCAAGGAGGAGGCGGCGGAACCUAUGGGCGUUUUGAAAUUGAGCCUAGUUCUAACAUGGGAUUGCCGCAGUUGUUGGGGUCAUUCUUGAGGCGGAAAGGGGGCCAAAUAUUGCCAAGAAUGCCGCAGCUAGAGGGGCUGCAAUGGCUGCUGUUAGCAGCAACAGAGGUUUCCAAGAAAUGUUGGAGAGAGAGUAUCAAGAGAGAGAAGAGGAGGUUUUGAGCGAUAAUCAUCGUCUUCUUAAUUCAUUGACUUCAUCAGGGGAAAUUAACUAGCCCUAACUAUUAACCAAGUUUAAAUUAAUUAGUUGAAUACUUAAUUGUGUGUUUUGGUGAUUGAGACGUGUGAUAUCGGGAGCUUGUUACAUUUGGAUUCAGAUUCUCAUUUUAUAUUUCUGUUAUAUAUGAAGGCAUAAAUUGGAGUACGUAACGUAAUAUUGUUGUGCGGUGGAUCUUAUUAGUUCUUCCAU
Molecule: long non-coding RNA, 757 nt
Organism: Salvia miltiorrhiza (redroot sage)
Lineage: Eukaryota; Viridiplantae; Streptophyta; Magnoliopsida; Lamiales; Lamiaceae
Exons: 3
Source: RefSeq, a predicted model, not a curated record